GCAGGGUGUGGUGGAUCCUGCCUGGAGUCCCAGCUACUCAGGAAGCUGAGGUGGGAUCGCUUGAGCCCAGGAAUUGGAGGCUGCAGUGAGCUGUGACUGUGCCACUGUGCUCCAGCCUGGGCAACAAGAGAGAAACUCCAUCUCAUAAAUAAAUAAAUUAAUUAAUUAAUUUAAGAGAUGGAGUCUCCCUCUAUCACCCAGGCUGGAGCACAGUGGCACAGUCACAGCUCACUGCAGCCUCCAAUUCCUGGGCUCAAGCGAUCCCACCUCAG
Non-coding RNA from Nomascus leucogenys (northern white-cheeked gibbon), 272 nucleotides. The record is from Rfam. Lineage: Eukaryota; Metazoa; Chordata; Mammalia; Primates; Hylobatidae.